This 23-nucleotide microRNA is filed under the name Ptychodera flava. RNAcentral's name for it is "Pfl-Mir-210-P25b_5p* (star (passenger))". Lineage: Eukaryota; Metazoa; Hemichordata; Enteropneusta; Ptychoderidae. The record is from RNAcentral.
AGCCGCUGCCACAUUGCACAGCA